UGAUCCCUUCCCGAACUCAGAAGUGAAACCUCUUAGCGCUGAUGGUAGUGUGGGGUUACCCAUGUGAGAGUAAGUCAUCGCCAGCU
Molecule: ribosomal RNA, 86 nt
Filed under: Acinetobacter sp.
Lineage: Bacteria; Pseudomonadati; Pseudomonadota; Gammaproteobacteria; Moraxellales; Moraxellaceae
Also listed under: 12 other names
Source: RNAcentral